UACUCGAGCGGCGAACGGGUGAGUAACACGUGAGUAAUCUGCCCCUGGCUUUGGGAUAGCCACCGGAAACGGUGAUUAAUACCGGAUAUGACAUGGACUCGCAUGGGUUUGUGUGGAAAGUUUUUCGGCCAGGGAUGUGCUCGCGGCCUAUCAGCUUGAUGGUGAGGUAAUGGCUCACCAUGGCUUCGACGGGUAGCCGGCCUGAGAGGGUGACCGGUCACACUGGGACUGAGACACGGCCCAGACUCCUACGGGAGGCAGCAGUGGGGAAUAUUGGACAAUGGGCGGAAGCCUGAUCCAGCAACGCCGCGUGAGGGAUGACGGCCUUCGGGUUGUAAACCUCUUUCAGUACCGACGAAGCGCAAGUGACGGUAGGUACAGAAGAAGCACCGGCCAACUACGUGCCAGCAGCCGCGGUAAUACGUAGGGUGCGAGCGUUGUCCGGAAUUAUUGGGCGUAAAGGGCUCGUAGGCGGUUUGUCGCGUCGGGAGUGAAACGCCGUGCUUAACACGGCGCUUGCUUUCGAUACGGGCAGACUAGAGGUAUGCAGGGGAGAACGGAAUUCCUGGUGUAGCGGUGAAAUGCGCAGAUAUCAGGAGGAACACCGGUGGCGAAGGCGG
RNAcentral lists this ribosomal RNA (620 nucleotides) under uncultured Actinomycetes bacterium. RNAcentral's name for it is "bacterial SSU rRNA". It matches the Rfam family "Bacterial small subunit ribosomal RNA", at positions 88 to 724 of the family's 1533-position model. The record is from RNAcentral. Lineage: Bacteria; Bacillati; Actinomycetota; Actinomycetes.